RNAcentral lists this ribosomal RNA (397 nucleotides) under Salmonella enterica subsp. arizonae serovar 51:g,z51:-. RNAcentral describes it as "bacterial LSU rRNA". It matches the Rfam family "Bacterial large subunit ribosomal RNA", at positions 1084 to 1397 of the family's 2925-position model. The record is from RNAcentral. Lineage: Bacteria; Pseudomonadati; Pseudomonadota; Gammaproteobacteria; Enterobacterales; Enterobacteriaceae.
CCCAGACAGCCAGGAUGUUGGCUUAGAAGCAGCCAUCAUUUAAAGAAAGCGUAAUAGCUCACUGGUCGAGUCGGCCUGCGCGGAAGAUGUAACGGGGCUAAACCAUGCACCGAAGCUGCGGCAGCGAACGUAUCACUUAAAGCGAUUCAGCGGAUGACGAUUGACGGAGCGAAGCGACGUCAAAGCGUUUUACAACGUCGAGUCGGUUUAAGGAUACGUUCGUUGGGUAGGGGAGCGUUCUGUAAGCCUGCGAAGGUGGCCUGUGAGGGUUGCUGGAGGUAUCAGAAGUGCGAAUGCUGACAUAAGUAACGAUAAUGCGGGUGAAAAACCCGCACGCCGGAAGACCAAGGGUUCCUGUCCAACGUUAAUCGGGGCAGGGUGAGUCGACCCCUAAGGC